CUUUCCUAUGGCAGGGAUGCAUACCAGCCUGGUCUUUUACUGGUACUUGUUUAUAUGUCUUUAAUCAGUGAUCAUUUUACUUUAUUUUCCCUUACCCCCAGCAAAAAAAUAGUCAUUUCAUUAGGUCCAAUGGUAUGAAAUCUAUUUCUCAAACAUGAGCCAAAGCCCACUACUUUAACUGAGCACAGAGCUCAGAGAAUUCCCUGAGUAACCCCACAGGAUACUCAACUCCAAGGGCAAUGGGGCCAAGCUCUCCAGAUGAUAUGGGAUGCAGACAGCCCUCUCUUUCUCUGCGGCUAAAUAACGAGGCCAUUAUAUACAGUGCCCUCUGUGCUCACCGCCUCUGUUAGCAUUUUGCUUUUCAAUUUGGGUCUUGGCCUGUAUUGUGCCCCUCUAAAGCACAUGCCAUUAUGAUUUUAAAAUAAUGGGAAGAAUGCGAUGGCACUGCUUAUUGGUGAUGUGACUCUCAGACUGUCCACAGAUUGCCGAGGGUGUUCCUGUCAAGAGCUUGUUCGGAUUGAAAGCACAAGCAGCUCCAGGAGCCUUGCUGACCCUUAUCUUCACGCUCAGGUCUGCAUUGUGGAAGCUGUUCUCUAUUUUCUUCCUUAGAGAACAUCCUUGAUAAGAGAAAAUGUUGACAACUGUACCUUUCUUGAGAGUCACUAAGAAAACAUUUCUUCCUGUCAAUCUCUUUUCAUGUGCUGCGCAGAAGAAAGGAAAGGGGAUAUUGCUUUGGGGAAUAACCUUGAUUUUCAGCAUGUAUUUAACAACCAAUAUUUUCUUGAGCACCUACCAUGUGCCUAAUUGGGAAAGGAUAAAAAGAUAAAGGUAAAGUAAUAAGGGGAUUUGUAUGUGUUGAACUUCCUAUAGCUCACUCUAAGGGUUCAGGAAUCAGGCAGGUCUGAGUUUGAACACUGACUCCAACCCCAUUGCCUGUAACACUGGUUGGGGCGGUGUAUUUUAAGCUCUCUGAGUGUCCAUUUCUCUGUGCUGUUAAACAAGGAUAAUGAUACCUGCUUUGUGGGUUGUUGGAGUGAGUGAACGAGGUACUGUGAGUAUAGUGUCUAGUGCAAUCCUGGCACAAAUGAGCCUUCUUGGAAUGUCAGCUAGCUUCCCACUUACUUUAUGCCAUGCUGUUUACCUGUCAGCCAUUCUGUUGCCUGACACAAACCUGCCUGUACCUCACAAGUGAUUGAUGGGCAUUAUGGUGACUUCAACUGUAUCAUAGCUCUGCAAUGUAAAGAAUUCCAACCCAGAAAAGUGACCAUGUAAUAGUGAGCAUAGUUUUAUGAAAACAAACUUUCCAAAGCUUAUAAGUCCACAUGGUUCUUACCCUCAUUAAAGAAAGAUCACACCAGGAAGGUGUGGUAGUCAUAAGUCUGUUCACCAAUAUUCUGACAUUCCCCCUCCAGGAUUACAGCAGUGUGACACUCCUCCAUCCCUUUGGGAGUUAAGCACACCAUGUGAUUCGCUGUGUACAAUGACAUGUGGGAAGUGCCUUGCAUCACUUCCAGGAGAUUUAAAAUAUUCCAUUCUCACUGCCACCAUCAUAGUGGAAGCAAAGAUUGAAUUGGGGCUUAUGUGAGCCUAGGCCCACGAAGUACAAUAAUGAGCAGAAUCCCUUUGAUAAUCCAUGUUAAAGAUAUUGCAAGAGUGACAAGUUCACUUUUAUUACAUGGCACCUCUGAGACAUACAGUUGUUCACAAUCUGCCUAGACUAAUAGAGGAGGUUCUACACAUAUUCCACUAAUUCUGCCUUUGCUCAAAAUAUUUCAGACAUUCUUCUGAUAGAAUUGCUUUCAGGGCAGCAUGUGACUACUGCAGUGUUAAUGUGAAGAUGUCCUUGCUCUCUGCCCUGUGACAGUAUUGCCUGGCUUGGUCCUUCACUUUCUUCCAUCUUAUUCAUUAGACUCGACUCGGACUGCAUCUGCUGUCUACAAAGAACUGAUUGAACACCACUGAGCCUAUUGGAGUGAAUGUGUCCCUCAGAAGGAGUGGUGGAUGUGGGUGUGGGGGAUUUGGAGGCAGUUCAUCCAGGGACAGACAAUAAGAAGAUGUCUUGUUUAUAGAAAAUUUAAAAAUAAUAGAACCACUAAGACACAGUCUACUUUUUAUUAUCACCAUAAAUGCUCAAUUCAAAACAAUGCAUGGGAGAAAUACUCCUCCCUCACUCCCACUUUCCUCCUUUGUUAAGAAACUGCUUUGAAAGCAACUACAAAGAGGAGUUUUCAGAACUUUUGAACAGCAAAAAUGUGGUUGGGAUGUGUUGUCUCCACUAAGGUGAGUGUUUUCAAAGAGAUAACAUUGUGCAUAUUUAUUUAAAAGGAUAAAGAGAGGUCAUUCUACUUCAUAGAUGCCUUUUGUAUAUUAAUUUGGAUAUUGGCUUAUGAAUUUAUCUCUAGUCAUACAUGCAUUUGUCUAAAUCCUGGGCCUCAUUCAUUCAUAGGUAUGCAUAGGUUCUGACCAGUACUGGACACAUAAUUGGGACCUAGUAUAUGGUGGAUGACUCAAACUUGGUUAGCAGCAAAAUAGUAAAUUUCUUUUGUUGUUUUUUAACCUGUCAUAGUUAGAAGAAUCAAGGGAGAGCUCUGGCUCACUGUUUUGAGGGGUGUAGUUUUUGUUGAUGGUGAGAAACUCCAAAGUCUGCUGUUUAGAGAGAGAUGGGUUCCAGCUGUUGGAGCUGACAGAGAUCUGAGGCAGAUGUACACAUGACACAGCACCCACACCCACCAGAGUUAAGGAAAAUCAGGAGCGGUACCUCCCUCUGUGUCCACACAUACAUCCAGAAUGCUCUUCAGCGACUCUCACUGUUUCUUUCAUGUUCUUUCCGUGCCCUGUUGUUUGCAUGCAAUUAAUCUCAAGUAGGGGUGAAGAAAGAAAAAUUGAUUUGUCUCAGGAAGUACACUCUAAGUGAGAAUCCUUUUUGCAGGUAGGCUUCUAUAGGAGGUAAGAAGGGAAACGGAGAUGGGAGAACAGUUUGAAUGUUGGCUAACUCCAGGCCUCAGUUUUGUAAAAUAUGAAUGGAUAUAAUACUUGUAUAGAUAGUGGUUGGGAUCAGCCCACAGCAGUCAAUAAUCAUAGGGAUUUCUUGGAUACCAGGUCAUAGUGAACUUGGCCUUGGGAAAAUAUUAACCUCCUGAGCUCUAACUGUUUUUUGGAAAAAUUAUGAUGGUAAGAGGUGGGAUCAGGGGAAGCUUGGGUGUCAGGAGUCUUUUUACCAUUUUGAAUGUCCACUUUAACAUUUUCUGCAUGAGGGCCUAAGAUUGAAUGGAGCAUGUGUAGCCUCUGGCAUGCUUGGAGUCUACUCAUUUUCCAAGGAACCUUCCAGAGGGUGCAUGACCUUGGACAGACCAUCUUGUGCACUAGAGCAAGUCUCCAGGGCUGAAUGGAUGUCAUCAGGAACUUUAAGAUAUGGCCCAGGUUCUGAAAGAAUGAUGACUCCAGCCAGUACCAUAUCAUAUGUGAGAAUGCCACAUUUCCCAAGAGAGACCUGAGCACUCCUGCCUGGACCAUGUGGAUACACCUCCAGUGUCGAACAGGCACUGGCUCUGGUCUGCAACUUGAUGAGAUGUAUUUAUGGCCUCUGGGGACAUGUAUUCCUUCUAGUACUGACAGAGCUAAUCAAUGACUGAACGAAUUUGUCUUUGCACAGCAAAGUGAUGCCUGUUGCACUUUUUGAGGAAAAGAAGCCAGGUGGCCAACAAUAGGAGGAUUGAAACUAGGACACACUUCACGUGUGUGCAGGAACCUGCCCAUGCACAGAAGGUACCCGUUCACCUCACGGUCACUCUGCUUUAUUAUGGGUGCUGGUAGCACCACAUGACAUGUAAAUGCCUUUGGAACUACUACAUCACGCUGCACCAUUGAAUGAGAAUGUGAAUGCAGAUAAUUGUCAAAUUCCGGGCAGUAUAAUUACAUAGUAGAAAUCGCCACUCUUGGAUAAAGCUUUCUCUUUUGUUUCCUUCAAAUUAGGACAGGCCUGCAGGACUGAUUCAUGUAUUAUGUACUGUCACUGACUAUUGGCCACCAUCACUGACUUCCAGGUGACAUGCAAGAGAAACUAUUGAAGUCUUAGUAGCUAAUUCAAUUAAAUGGGAAGUAUGGAUUAAACACUCAAAAUCAUAUCAUCAAUCCUGAAGUUGCUGAAUAAGAAAGGAUUUGGAAGUAUGGCUUAUGAACAGUGUGGCAUUAUGAUGAUAUGGAAACUGUAGGUCCCAAAAGUGCUGCUGCAGAAUCUCUAGACUUUUGCUUUGGAAGAUCACGUGUACUUAAACUGAUCUUUAUAUACUGAAGAAUAGAGGGGUUACUAUCUAGUAUUUGUUCCCCCAAAGAUAUUGUUAAGUUGAUGUUACAACUGAUGGAAAUUGGAAACUGAGGAAAUAAGAGGAUGUGGAGCCGCACAUUGGAAGUACCCUAAGGCCAGUGCAUGUAGUAAGUAUCUGCAGAACAUGUUUUAUACAGGGUGGCUGUUUUAUACGUAUCCCCCCAUUGCCUAUCUUUUUAGGCUUGUUGGUUUAUAUACUUGUUUCUAGGGUAUGUACUUUUAUUCAAGAAAAAUAUGCCAUGGUUUAGGAUGGGAAAGGAAUAUUAUCAUAGUAAAUAUAGCAUUGACUAGAUUUAUUAAAAUUUAAAAAUAAAUGGGAGGUGGUAUAAUAUGGAUGAAUGCAUACUGACCUGAGAUGCAGUUUUCAUACAUAACUUUUGAUGACAUUGUCUGAUGUUAUGGCUGUUGGUGAGAUAAUGUAUUCUGCAGACACUUCUGCAUCUUUACCAAUGUAGAGGACGAUGGAAUCUUCUCUACAUUUCCUCCAUCAGACCACUUAUAGGAGCAGAUCCGGUUGGUGCUUUUUUAAUGCACUGAGUUCCUUUGUAGGGCACCUUUAAAGCACUAUUUUGAUUUAAUUCUGAAUUGACUGUAUUCCUGAGUUUGGGAAAUCAAAUUUUAAUAUGAACUUGCAAAUAGCCCCAGUGCUUUGCCCUUAUUCAUACGCCAGCAACCUUCACUGAAGUCGGAAGCAGAGUCAAGCUGUUGUCCUGAAGAUGGUUUCAAGAGCUCAGGAGUCUUUCUGGACCCUUUUAUCACUGCAUUUCAAUGAGGUCUUCAUGUCUCUCUUCUCUUGCUUCCUCCAAAGGAAGCUGCAGCCAGUACUCCAGGACGUGGCGAGGCCAAGAGUGCCCAAGGACCCUUCCAGGACUGUGCUCCUCCAGUUUGUGAAAUUUGCCAUUCUUAUCACUGCUUUUCCUUUUUUCACACCCUAAUACAUCAUAAUAAAUGCUACUGUUUUGUAAAAUUUUACUGUAUGUAAAAACCCACCUUUACAUUUUUAAAGGACUGAGCUCCCAGAUCAAUUGGCAUGUUUUAAGUCUUCUAUGUAAAAGUUUAUCAAAUUCUGAUUAGAGUAACAUUUUGGAUUACACAAUCUACUUGAAGUUCUUAAUGGACAUAACAUUUUUUCCUAUUAAUGAGCACUAAAAGUGUUUUAACUGAAUCAAUAAAGGUGGCAUUUUUUGUUGUUGUUGUUGAGGUGAAGUAACUUUU
Long non-coding RNA from Phyllostomus discolor (pale spear-nosed bat), 5539 nucleotides. RefSeq lists it as uncharacterized. The transcript is spliced from 5 exons. Lineage: Eukaryota; Metazoa; Chordata; Mammalia; Chiroptera; Phyllostomidae. The record is from RefSeq and is a predicted model, not a curated record.